GUGCUCGCUUCGGCAGCACAUAUAGUAAAAUUGGAACUAUACAGAAAAGAUUAGCAUGGCCCCUGCACAAGGAUGACACACAGAUUUGUGAAGCAUUGCAUAUUUUU
Homo sapiens (human) is the source of this 107-nucleotide small nuclear RNA. Lineage: Eukaryota; Metazoa; Chordata; Mammalia; Primates; Hominidae. The record is from Ensembl.